AGACUCCCUUUGCCUACCUCUUCCUCUCUGACCCCAUCCUCGCUUUGAUGCCCGGGACCUGCUACCCAGGUACGUGGGUCUUCUCUGCCGGAUGUGGACAUCUUGGCCUCUCGCCUUGGUGCCUACUCUUGGGAAGCGGGUCCAGACAUCUCUCCUGCAGGAAGAGAGGAAGGGUUAAUUACAGGCGUUGGGGAUAAUUAAAGCCUUUGACCAAGAGGAUGGGAGGAGAGCCUUGGUCCUCUGAGAGCCUGUGAGUGUGCAAGUGCCUGUGAGAAUAAGUGCAUGUGUAUGAGGGUGUGAGAUUUUGUUGAAUGUGCAUUCGUGUGUAUAGACAUGAGAGUGUUGAUGUAUGUAUGACUGUGUGUGAGUGUGUGUAUGGACAUAAGUGUUGUAUGUGACUGGGCAGGGUGGCUCAGGCCUGUAAUUCCAGCACUUUGGGAGGCCGAGGCAGGCAGAUCAUUUGAGGUCAGGAGCUCCAGACAUGCCUGGCCAACAUGGUGAAACCCCGUCUCUACUAAAAAUACAAAAAAAUUAGCUGGGCGUGGUGCCACUCACCUGUAAUCCCAUCUACUAAGGAGGCUAAGGCAGGAGAAUCACUUGAACCCCAGAGGCAGAGAUUGCAGUGAGCCGAGAUUGCGCCACUCACUGCACUCCAGCCUGGGCCAGCAAGACUCUGUCUCAAAAAAAAAAAGAAAAAAGUGUUGGUAUAUGUGUGUAUAAGUGUGUGUGCAUGGGCAUGAGAGGAUUUGGGUAUGAGUGUGUGUCUGUGUGUGUUUUUGUGGAUUGUGUGGAUGUGUCUAGAUGUGUGUAUGAGUGUGCAUGUGGGUGUGAGAGAUUUGUGUAUGAGUGCAUGUGAGUGUGGAUUUGUGUAUGCAUGUAUUUGUGAGUGUGCCAUACUUCACAGUAGAUGUGGAGUCAGCCCAUGAGUUUCUGAACAAGUUAUUUCACUUUUCUGAGCCUCAGUUUGCUCCUGGAAAGAUGUAAAGCCUAUUUAGGAGAGUUACUGUAAAGAUCAAAUAAAGUCAUGCAUGUAAACCACAGGGGCCAGGACUACAGAAAGCACGCAUGAAAUCUCAGCUGUUACUGGGUUACAUGCGGUUCAGCAACAGGAAGCCACAUCCGUGGAGAGCAGGGCAUGUGUUGUGCCCAGGGCUCUGUGGACAGGCACAUGGGGUGUGUGGAUGAGUGUGAGCAUGUGUGUAGUACGUGGUUUGGAUAAGUGUUUUGCAUGUUGUAUUGGAGCCUCUGGGCUAGGGACACUGGCGUGUGUAAGACUCCAUGUGAGUUGUGUGGAAGCCACUGCUUGUACAUGUGUGUUACAUGCCACUUGCAGGCUCCAUCUGUCAGAUGUGUCACUAGAGGACACACUGCAGGAGGACAGGGAUGUUUGUAGAAAACAGACAGUGCCUGGGCCAGGCGCGGUGGCUCACGCCUGUAAUCCCAGCACUUUGGGAGGCCGAGGCAGAUAGAUCACUUGAGGUCAGGAGUUUGAGACCAAGCUUGUCAUCAUGGUGAAACCCCGUCUCUACUAAAAAUACAAAAAUUAGCCGGGCGUGGUGGCGCAUGCCCGUAAUCCCAGCUGCUCGAG
Molecule: long non-coding RNA, 1588 nt
Filed under: Homo sapiens (human)
Lineage: Eukaryota; Metazoa; Chordata; Mammalia; Primates; Hominidae
Description: non-protein coding lnc-CLCNKB-1:7
Source: RNAcentral